RNAcentral lists this ribosomal RNA (450 nucleotides) under uncultured bacterium. RNAcentral describes it as "partial 16S ribosomal RNA". It matches the Rfam family "Bacterial small subunit ribosomal RNA", at positions 354 to 796 of the family's 1533-position model. The record is from RNAcentral.
GUGGGGAAUUUUGGACAAUGGGCGAAAGCCUGAUCCAGCAAUGCCGCGUGUGUGAAGAAGGCCUUCGGGUUGUAAAGCACUUUUGGCAGGGAAGAAACAGUGCGUGCUAAUACCAUGCGCGAAUGACGGUACCUGCAGAAUAAGCACCGGCUAACUACGUGCCAGCAGCCGCGGUAAUACGUAGGGUGCAAGCGUUAAUCAGAAUUACUGGGCGUAAAGCGUGCGCAGGCGGCUUUGUAAGACGGAUGUGAAAGCCCCGGGCUCAACCUGGGAAGUGCAUUCGUGACGGCAAGGCUAGAGUGUGUCAGAGGGAGGUGGAAUUCCGCGUGUAGCAGUGAAAUGCGUAGAGAUGCGGAGGAACACCGAUGGCGAAGGCAGCCUCCUGGGAUAACACUGACGCUCAGGCACGAAAGCGUGGGGAGCAAACAGGAUUAGAAACCCUGGUAGUCC